CUGAGUUUUGUCGAAAGACAAUCUCCCACCCUUUGUUAUUGAAACUACAAUUGCUUUGGCGGGUCUGUCGCAAGACCCGGUGGCAUCGUCACUUGAGCUACCCGCCAAAGGUUUUGAACUCUGAAUUUAGUUGUCUGAGUUGAUUAUCAAAAUAA
RNAcentral lists this unclassified non-coding RNA (155 nucleotides) under uncultured fungus. Its description in RNAcentral is "sequence contains ITS1, 5.8S rRNA gene". Lineage: Eukaryota; Fungi. The record is from RNAcentral.